Molecule: ribosomal RNA, 260 nt
Filed under: Pseudomonas aeruginosa
Lineage: Bacteria; Pseudomonadati; Pseudomonadota; Gammaproteobacteria; Pseudomonadales; Pseudomonadaceae
Description: partial 16S ribosomal RNA
Rfam family: Bacterial small subunit ribosomal RNA
Source: RNAcentral
GAACUGAAGAGUUUGAUCAUGGCUCAGAUUGAACGCUGGCGGCAGGCCUAACACAUGCAAGUCGAGCGGAUGAAGGGAGCUUGCUCCUGGAUUCAGCGGCGGACGGGUGAGUAAUGCCUAGGAAUCUGCCUGAUAGUGGGGGAUAACGUCCGGAAACGGGCGCUAAUACCGCAUACGUCCUGAGGGAGAAAGUGGGGGAUCUUCGGACCUCACGCUAUCAGAUGAGCCUAGGUCGGAUUAGCUAGUUGGUGGGGUAAAGG